Molecule: ribosomal RNA, 819 nt
Filed under: uncultured beta proteobacterium
Lineage: Bacteria; Pseudomonadati; Pseudomonadota; Betaproteobacteria
Description: bacterial SSU rRNA
Rfam family: Bacterial small subunit ribosomal RNA
Source: RNAcentral
CGCUGGCGGAAUGCUUUACACAUGCAAGUCGAACGGCAGCACGGGGGCAACCCUGGUGGCGAGUGGCGAACGGGUGAGUAAUACAUCGGAACGUGCCCAGUCGUGGGGGAUAACGUAGCGAAAGUUACGCUAAUACCGCAUACGAUCUACGGAUGAAAGCGGGGGAUCGCAAGACCUCGCGCGAUUGGAGCGGCCGAUGUCAGAUUAGGUUGUUGGUGAGGUAAAGGCUCACCAAGCCGACGAUCUGUAGCUGGUCUGAGAGGACGACCAGCCACACUGGGACUGAGACACGGCCCAGACUCCUACGGGAGGCAGCAGUGGGGAAUUUUGGACAAUGGACGAAAGUCUGAUCCAGCCAUUCCGCGUGCAGGACGAAGGCCUUCGGGUUGUAAACUGCUUUUGUACGGAACGAAAAAGCCUUGGCUAAUACCCGGGGUCCAUGACGGUACCGUAAGAAUAAGCACCGGCUAACUACGUGCCAGCAGCCGCGGUAAUACGUAGGGUGCGAGCGUUAAUCGGAAUUACUGGGCGUAAAGCGUGCGCAGGCGGUUUUGUAAGACAGAGGUGAAAUCCCCGGGCUCAACCUGGGAACUGCCUUUGUGACUGCAAGGCUAGAGUGCGGCAGAGGGGGAUGGAAUUCCGCGUGUAGCAGUGAAAUGCGUAGAUAUGCGGAGGAACACCGAUGGCGAAGGCAAUCCCCUGGGCCUGCACUGACGCUCAUGCACGAAAGCGUGGGGAGCAAACAGGAUUAGAUACCCUGGUAGUCCACGCCCUAAACGAUGUCAACUGGUUGUUGGGUCUUUGCUGACUCAGUAACGA